UUACCUGGCCUUGACAUACUAAGAACUUUCCAGAGAUGGAUUGGUGCCUUCGGGAACUUAGAUACAGGUGCUGCAUGGCUGUCGUCAGCUCGUGUCGUGAGAUGUUGGGUUAAGUCCCGCAACGAGCGCAACCCUUUUCCUUAUUUGCCAGCGGGUUAAGCCGGGAACUUUAAGGAUACUGCCAGUGACAAACUGGAGGAAGGCGGGGACGACGUCAAGUCAUCAUGGCCCUUACGGCCAGGGCUACACACGUGCUACAAUGGUCGGUACAAAGGGUUGCUACCUCGCGAGAGGAUGCUAAUCUCAAAAAGCCGAUCGUAGUCCGGAUCGCAGUCUGCAACUCGACUGCGUGAAGUCGGAAUCGCUAGUAAUCGCGGAUCAGAAUGCCGCGGUGAAUACGUUCCCGGGCCUUGUACACACCGCCCGUCACACCAUGGGAGUUUGUUGCACCAGAAGUAGGUAGUCUAACCGCAAGGAGGACGCUUACCACGGUGCGGCCGAUGACUGGGGGUGAAGUCGUAACAAGGUAGGCGUAGAUGA
Molecule: ribosomal RNA, 540 nt
Filed under: uncultured bacterium
Lineage: Bacteria
Description: bacterial SSU rRNA
Rfam family: Bacterial small subunit ribosomal RNA
Source: RNAcentral